Molecule: ribosomal RNA, 253 nt
Filed under: uncultured bacterium
Lineage: Bacteria
Description: partial 16S ribosomal RNA
Rfam family: Bacterial small subunit ribosomal RNA
Source: RNAcentral
UACGUAGGGUGCGAGCGUUGCCCGGAUUUAUUGGGCGUAAAGGGCGCGUAGGCGGCUCGGCACGUCCGUUGUGAAAUCGCCCGGCUCAACUGGGCGGGGUCAGCGGAUACGGUCGAGCUUGAGCAAGCUAGGGGGCAAUGGAAUUCCCGGUGUAGUGGUGGAAUGCGUAGAUAUCGGGAGGAACACCAGUGGCGAAGGCGGUUGCCUGGAGCUUUGCUGACGCUGAGGCGCGAAAGCGUAGGGAGCGAUCCGG